This 253-nucleotide ribosomal RNA is filed under the name uncultured bacterium. RNAcentral's name for it is "partial 16S ribosomal RNA". It matches the Rfam family "Bacterial small subunit ribosomal RNA", at positions 524 to 776 of the family's 1533-position model. The record is from RNAcentral.
GACGUAGGGCGCAAGCGUUGUCCGGAUUUAUUGGGCGUAAAGAGCUCGUAGGCGGCUUGUCACGUCGGGUGUGAAAGCCCGGGGCUUAACCCCGGGUCUGCAUUCGAUACGGGCUGGCUAGAGUGUGGUAGGGGAGAUCGGAAUUCCUGGUGUAGCGGUGAAAUGCGCAGAUAUCAGGAGGAACACCGGUGGCGAAGGCGGAUCUCUGGGCCAUUACUGACGCUGAGGAGCGAAAGCGUGGGGAGCGAACAGG